This 442-nucleotide ribosomal RNA is filed under the name uncultured bacterium. RNAcentral's name for it is "partial 16S ribosomal RNA". It matches the Rfam family "Bacterial small subunit ribosomal RNA", at positions 338 to 795 of the family's 1533-position model. The record is from RNAcentral.
CCUACGGGAGGCAGCAGUGAGGGAUAUUGCACAAUGGCGGAAACCCUGAUGCAGCGAAGCCGCGUGUGGGAAGACGGUCCUCUGGGUUGUAAACCACUGUCCCCAGGGACGAAGAUGACGGUACCUGGGGAGGAAGCUCCGGCUAACCACGUGCCAGCAGCCGCGGUAAUACGGGGGAUGCAAGCGUUAUCCGGAUAUAUUGGGUUUAAAGGGUGCGUAGGCUGUGAGGUAAGGCAGCGGGGAAAUGACCCCGCUCAACGGGGUGAAGUGCCAUUGAUACUGCCUUGCUGGAAUGCGGAUGCCGUGGGAGGAAUGUGUGGUGUAGCGGUGAAAUGCAUAGAUAUCACACAGAACACCGAUUGCGAAGGCAUCUCACGAAUCCGCGAGUGACGCUGAUGCACGAAAGCGUGGGUAUCAAACAGGAUUAGAUACCCUAGUAGUC